Aotus nancymaae (Ma's night monkey) is the source of this 287-nucleotide unclassified non-coding RNA. It matches the Rfam family "Metazoan signal recognition particle RNA". Rfam says of the family: The signal recognition particle (SRP) is a universally conserved ribonucleoprotein. It is involved in the co-translational targeting of proteins to membranes. The eukaryotic SRP consists of a 300-nucleotide 7S RNA and six proteins: SRPs 72, 68, 54, 19, 14, and 9. The record is from Ensembl. NCBI's taxonomy places the organism in Eukaryota, Metazoa, Chordata, Mammalia, Primates, Aotidae.
GGCAGUGGCACAUGUCUGUAGUCCCAGCUACUCAGGAGUCUGAGGCAGGAGGAUAGGUUGAGCCCAGGAGUUCUGGGCUACAGUGCACUUUGCAGAUCUGGUAAGAACUCUGAGUCCUGCAUCAAUAUGGCGACCUCCUGGGGAGCCACCAUGUUGCCUAAGGAAGGGUAAACCAGACCAGGUUGGAAAUGGAACAGGUCAAAACUCCCAUACUGAUCAGUAGUAGGAUUUCACCAAUGAAUAGCCACUGUACUCUAGCCUGGGCAUCACAGCAAGACCCGAUGUCA